GAUGAACGCUGGCGGCGUGCCUAACACAUGCAAGUCGAACGAACAGACGAGGAGCUUGCUCCUCUGACGUUAGCGGCGGACGGGUGAGUAACACGUGGAUAACCUACCUAUAAGACUGGGAUAACUUCGGGAAACAGGAGCUAAUACCGGAUAAUAUAUUGAACCGCAUGGUUCAAUAGUGAAAGACGGUUUUGCUGUCACUUAUAGAUGGAUCCGCGCCGCAUUAGCUAGUUGGUAAGGUAACGGCUUACCAAGGCAACGAUGCGUAGCCGACCUGAGAGGGUGAUCGGCCACACUGGAACUGAGACACGGUCCAGACUCCUACGGGAGGCAGCAGUAGGGAAUCUUCCGCAAUGGGCGAAAGCCUGACGGAGCAACGCCGCGUGAGUGAUGAAGGUCUUCGGAUCGUAAAACUCUGUUAUUAGGGAAGAACAAAUGUGUAAGUAACUAUGCACGUCUUGACGGUACCUAAACAAAAAGCCACGGCUAACUACGUG
This 497-nucleotide ribosomal RNA is filed under the name uncultured bacterium. Its description in RNAcentral is "partial 16S ribosomal RNA". It matches the Rfam family "Bacterial small subunit ribosomal RNA", at positions 28 to 507 of the family's 1533-position model. The record is from RNAcentral.